RNAcentral lists this ribosomal RNA (719 nucleotides) under Phytophthora colocasiae. Its description in RNAcentral is "eukaryotic LSU rRNA". It matches the Rfam family "Eukaryotic large subunit ribosomal RNA", at positions 90 to 634 of the family's 3401-position model. Lineage: Eukaryota; Oomycota; Peronosporomycetes; Peronosporales; Peronosporaceae. The record is from RNAcentral.
CGAGUGAAGCGGGGAAGAGCUCAAGCUUAAAAUCUCCGUGCAAGUUUUGUGCGGCGAAUUUGUAGUCUAUAGAGGCGUGGUCAGCGUGGGCGCUUGGGGCAAGUUCCUUGGAAGAGGACAGCAUGGAGGGUGAUACUCCCGUUCAUCCCUGAGUGGCUCGUGCGUACGACCCGUUUUCUUUGAGUCGCGUUGUUUGGGAAUGCAGCGCAAAGUAGGUGGUAAAUUCCAUCUAAAGCUAAAUAUUGGUGCGAGACCGAUAGCGAACAAGUACCGUGAGGGAAAGAUGAAAAGAACUUUGAAAAGAGAGUUAAAGAGUACCUGAAACUGCUGAAAGGGAACCGAAUCGUUUCCAGUGUCUAUAAUCUGUGGCAUAUUUCAUUGGCGAGCGUUUGCGUGCGUGUGCUGUGGCAGUGGCUUUUUUGGCUGCGCCUGGUGUGUGUGGUGUGAGUGUUUGCUGGUGCCCUGUGCUGCGGUGGGACGUCAAGGUCAGUUCGUAUGCUGCGGGAAAUGGCUGCCGAGGAGGUAGGGCUUACGCUCCGCGUUUGUCUGUUAUAUCUUGGUGGACGAGUCGUCGCGGUUGGGACUGAGGUGCCUACAACGUGCUUUUGAGUGGGUUUGUGUCUCCGUGUGCGCCGUGUGCGGAUAGCUUGCUAUGCGUGUGUGGUUGUGUGUGGAUUGAUGCGGGCCUUAACUUGUCGCCGUUCGGGACGUUGACGAAA